CUACAUCUACGAUCCAUAUGAUAAGCAAUAGUGGCCCGUAGCUCAUACAAGUGCAGUAUCCAUAUUAGAAGGUUCUGCACACUUUCCUGCUCCAUCAUUAAUAUAGUUGAGUACUACAAUAUGAGUGGCAAAGUACAGACCUAUAACCGUAUUUCAAAUAGGCAUAAGAGGGAGAAUAUAUACCCUCUGGGAGUGUCACCUCCUUAAUGGUUCCAACAAAUUGAUAUCGUUGUUUGACUACUUCUGUAAGAAAUAUAAUGUUCCAAUAAAUUGGUAUCCAGAUUUAAUUUGACUACUUCUCUAAAAAACUUACUACAUGUAGUGCGUAGACACUUGAAAUCUGAAAAUCGCAAGAUCCUCCUCGUCCCCGAAAAUCGUGAGAUCCUCUUCGUCCCUUGGAACACCUCACAGGUGUAUCAGCUACACACCAUGGGUCGUGGUCGGCGGUUCCCAAUCUUUAGGAAGAAAGGCGGCCAUGGUGAGCUUGCCAUGUACUUUAAGCGGCUCCACUCUUCACAUCAUGUCAUGAAAUGUCAUUGUCGAUUGGCGGAAAUCCAUUAGAAUCUCAGCCAUCUCAUUUCUUCUUUCAGCCACAUCUCACAUAAGCCAAAGCUUCAGAAUUAGAGUACUGCGUGGAUUUUUAAACUUAGUAAACUGUGUAGAAAUGGUACGAUGAGAACAGAGCAGUAAGGUGAUCACCUUAGAAAGUUUCUGACUAAUGUGAGUUUUUUCAUAACCAAAAGCACCAGGAAUAGCACCAUGUUCCUCCAAAAACUAAGGGGAGCAAUGCAUCACGCACACGCUGGAACCAUUUCAACAUAGGCAAGAUUGAGAUUUAAUGACGUCCGAAGGAAAUGAUAAAACAACAUCUGGAAAUUUUGGGCAUGUAGGAGGAGAAACCAUGAUAAAUAAAAAUACACGUUUUAUUAUGGAAAUUGAAGCUCAAGAUAAUUCGCAGACAACCUAUCCUAUAAGAAGAGGUGUAUCCACAGAAGGUCUCUAUGUAAGAACAUGCCAUGACUGCCGCUCAAUAAGUUCCAUGCAUUAAGCUAGUAAUUUAGUCCUUAAAAAGUCAAAUAAAUUAACUUUCUUACCUGAAGCAUAGUAAAUUCUUUUUGGAUGCCCUGAUAUUCCAACUCUAGUAUUGUAUCUUGCAUACAAAGCAACAUCAGUUUUUCAAAUAAAGGCAAGCAAUGGUAGAAAACAUGGGUUGAAGCAUACUAACUUCUUUUUGGAUGGCCUGAAAUUCCAACGCUAGUACUAUAUCCUGCAUACAACUCUAUACCGUAUCCUGCAUACAUAACAACAACAGUUUUUCAAAUAAAGUUAAGAAGUGGUAGAAAUCAUGGAAUCAAGGCUGUCUUGACCAAUUGGAGCUUUGUAAAUUGCUUUCCCAUGGAACUAAGCGGAAGGGCGACAUGGUGGUUC
This 1428-nucleotide long non-coding RNA is filed under the name Triticum aestivum (bread wheat). RNAcentral's name for it is "long non-coding RNA (TAES_LNC006972)". Lineage: Eukaryota; Viridiplantae; Streptophyta; Magnoliopsida; Poales; Poaceae. The record is from RNAcentral.